CCUACGGGGGGCAGCAGUGAGGAAUAUUGGUCAAUGGGCGCAAGCCUGACCCAGCAACGCCGCGUGAAGGAAGAAGGCCCUCGGGUUGUAAACUUCUUUUGUCAGGGACGAAACAAAUGACGGUACCUGACGAAUAAGCCACGGCUAACUACGUGCCAGCAGCCGCGGUAAUACGUAGGUGGCAAGCGUUAUCCGGAUUUACUGGGUGUAAAGGGCGUGUAGGCGGGAGAGCAAGUCAGAUGUGAAAUUCCAGGGCUCAACCCUGGAACUGCAUUUGAAACUGUUUUUCUUGAGUGAGGGGGAGGCAGGCGGAAUUCCGUGUGUAGCGGUGAAAUGCGUAGAUAGACGGAGGAACACCAGUGGCGAAGGCGGCCUGCUGGACAUUAACUGACGCUGAGGCGCGAAAGCGUGGGGAGCAAACAGGAUUAGAUACCCUUGUAGUC
RNAcentral lists this ribosomal RNA (443 nucleotides) under uncultured bacterium. Its description in RNAcentral is "partial 16S ribosomal RNA". It matches the Rfam family "Bacterial small subunit ribosomal RNA", at positions 338 to 795 of the family's 1533-position model. The record is from RNAcentral.